RNAcentral lists this transfer RNA (62 nucleotides) under Symsagittifera roscoffensis. RNAcentral describes it as "tRNA-Arg". The record is from RNAcentral. Lineage: Eukaryota; Metazoa; Xenacoelomorpha; Acoela; Convolutidae.
AAUGUUUUAGUUUAUGUUUAAAAUAACAAUUUUCGAAAUUGUAGAAUUUCGUUUAAACAUUU